RNAcentral lists this ribosomal RNA (253 nucleotides) under uncultured bacterium. RNAcentral describes it as "partial 16S ribosomal RNA". It matches the Rfam family "Bacterial small subunit ribosomal RNA", at positions 524 to 776 of the family's 1533-position model. The record is from RNAcentral.
UACAGAGGUCCCAAGCGUUGUUCGGAUUCAUUGGGCGUAAAGGGUGCGUAGGCGGCGCGGUAAGUCGGGUGUGAAAUCUCGGGGCUUAACUCCGAAACUGCAUUCGAUACUGUCGUGCUUGAGGACUGGAGAGGAGACUGGAAUUCACGGUGUAGCAGUGAAAUGCGUAGAUAUCGUGAGGAAGACCGGUGGCGAAGGCGGGUCUCUGGGCAGUAACUGACGCUGAGGAGCGAAAGCGUGGGGAGCGAACAGG